GCUUAACACAUGCAAGUCGAGGGGCAGCAUGGUCUUAGCUUGCUAAGGCCGACGGCGACCGGCGCACGGGUGAGUAACACGUAUCCAACCUGCCGUCUACUCUUGGACAGCCUUCUGAAAGGAAGAUUAAUACAAGAUGGCAUCAUGAGUCCGCAUGUUCACAUGAUUAAAGGUAUUCCGGUAGACGAUGGGGAUGCGUUCCAUUAGAUAGUAGGCGGGGUAACGGCCCACCUAGUCUUCGAUGGAUAGGGGUUCUGAGAGGAAGGUCCCCCACAUUGGAACUGAGACACGGUCCAAACUCCUACGGGAGGCAGCAGUGAGGAAUAUUGGUCAAUGGGCGAGAGCCUGAACCAGCCAAGCAGCGUGAAGGAUGACUGCCCUAUGGGUUGUAAACUUCUUUUAUAAAGGAAUAAAGUCGGGUAUGCAUACCCGUUUGCAUGUACUUUAUGAAUAAGGAUCGGCUAACUCCGUGCCAGCAGCCGCGGUAAUACGGAGGAUCCGAGCGUUAUCCGGAUUUAUUGGGUUUAAAGGGAGCGUAGAUGGAUGUUUAAGUCAGUUGUGAAAGUUUGCGGCUCAACCGUAAAAUUGCAGUUGAUACUGGAUAUCUUGAGUGCAGUUGAGGCAGGCGGAAUUCGUGGUGUAGCGGUGAAAUGCUUAGAUAUCACGAAGAACUCCGAUUGCGAAGGCAGCCUGCUAAGCUGCAACUGACAUUGAGGCUCGAAAGUGUGGGUAUCAAACAGGAUUAGAUACCCUGGUAGUCCACACGGUAAACGAUGAAUACUCGCUGUUUGCGAUAUACGGCAAGCGGCCAAGCGAAAGCGUUAAGUAUUCCACCUGGGGAGUACGCCGGCAACGGUGAAACUCAAAGGAAUUGACGGGGGCCCGCACAAGCGGAGGAACAUGUGGUUUAAUUCGAUGAUACGCGAGGAACCUUACCCGGGCUUAAAUUGCAGAUGAAUUACGGUGAAAGCCGUAAGCCGCAAGGCAUCUGUGAAGGUGCUGCAUGGUUGUCGUCAGCUCGUGCCGUGAGGUGUCGGCUUAAGUGCCAUAACGAGCGCAACCCUUGUUGUCAGUUACUAACAGGUUCCGCUGAGGACUCCGACAAGACUGCCAUCGUAAGAUGUGAGGAAGGUGGGGAUGACGUCAAAUCAGCACGGCCCUUACGUCCGGGGCUACACACGUGUUACAAUGGGGGGUACAGAGGGCCGCUACCACGCGAGUGGAUGCCAAUCCCAAAAACCUCUCUCAGUUCGGACUGGAGUCUGCAACCCGACUCCACGAAGCUGGAUUCGCUAGUAAUCGCGCAUCAGCCACGGCGCGGUGAAUACGUUCCCGGGCCUUGUACACACCGCCCGUCAAGCCAUGGGAGCCGGGGGUACCUGAAGUGCGUAACCGCGAGGAGCGCCCUAGGGUAAAACUGGUGACUGGGGCUAAGU
RNAcentral lists this ribosomal RNA (1436 nucleotides) under uncultured organism. RNAcentral's name for it is "16S ribosomal RNA". It matches the Rfam family "Bacterial small subunit ribosomal RNA". The record is from RNAcentral.